AGACCUCUAAUCGGAAAAGACCACCCGCUGAGUUUAA
Molecule: ribosomal RNA, 37 nt
Filed under: Isodrepanium lentulum
Lineage: Eukaryota; Viridiplantae; Streptophyta; Bryopsida; Hypnales; Neckeraceae
Also listed under: 1 other name
Description: partial 26S ribosomal RNA
Source: RNAcentral